UACGGAGGGUGCAAGCGUUGUCCGGAUUUAUUGGGCUUAAAGGGUGCGUAGGUGGCUUGUUAAGUCCGGGGUGAAAGCCCACAGCUCAACUGUGGAACUGCCCUGGAUACUGGCGAGCUUGAGUCCAGACGAGGUUGGCGGAAUGGAUGCUGUAGCGGUGAAAUGCAUAGAUAGCAUCCAGAACCCCGAUUGCGUAGGCAGCUGACUAGGCUGGUACUGACACUGAGGCACGAAAGCGUGGGGAGCGAACAGG
This 253-nucleotide ribosomal RNA is filed under the name uncultured bacterium. RNAcentral's name for it is "partial 16S ribosomal RNA". It matches the Rfam family "Bacterial small subunit ribosomal RNA", at positions 524 to 776 of the family's 1533-position model. The record is from RNAcentral.